RNAcentral lists this non-coding RNA (26 nucleotides) under Homo sapiens (human). The record is from RNAcentral. Lineage: Eukaryota; Metazoa; Chordata; Mammalia; Primates; Hominidae.
UACUCAAGUGAGGGGAUUAUAUGGGA